CCUACGGGAGGCAGCAGUGAGGAAUAUUGGUCAAUGGACGAGAGUCUGAACCAGCCAAGUAGCGUGAAGGAUGACUGCCCUAUGGGUUGUAAACUUCUUUUAUAUGGGAAUAAAACGUUCCACGUGUGGGAUUUUGUAUGUACCAUAUGCAUAAGGAUCGGCUAACUCCGUGCCAGCAGCCGCGGUAAUACGGAGGAUCCGAGCGUUAUCCGGAUUUAUUGGGUUUAAAGGGAGCGUAGGUGGAUUGUUAAGUCAGUUGUGAAAGUUUGCGGCUCAACCGUAAAAUUGCAGUUGAAACUGGCAGUCUUGAGUACAGUAGAGGUGGGCGGAAUUCGUGGUGUAGCGGUGAAAUGCUUAGAUAUCACGAAGAACUCCGAUUGCGAAGGCAGUUCACUGGACUGCAACUGACACUGAGGCUCGAAAGUGUGGGUAUCAAACAGGAUUAGAUACCCUUGUAGUC
RNAcentral lists this ribosomal RNA (460 nucleotides) under uncultured bacterium. RNAcentral describes it as "partial 16S ribosomal RNA". It matches the Rfam family "Bacterial small subunit ribosomal RNA", at positions 338 to 795 of the family's 1533-position model. The record is from RNAcentral.